Eleginops maclovinus (Patagonian blennie) is the source of this 1171-nucleotide long non-coding RNA. RefSeq lists it as uncharacterized. Lineage: Eukaryota; Metazoa; Chordata; Actinopteri; Perciformes; Eleginopidae. The transcript has 3 exons. The record is from RefSeq and is a predicted model, not a curated record.
AAGGCUCUUAACUUCUCCUGUGUGUAGGUUGUGACGUCAUUUCCGUCUUUUAGCGGUACCUGUUUUCAAUUAGCCUAACGAGCUCACCUGCCACACGGUCACACAUGGAAACGAUGUCACCAUUACUAGAGGGAUGGUGUUGGAACCCCCUCCACGUUUCCCUUGUCUCCAUAGAAGAUCUGAAACGAUGAGGCAUACCGUUGUGAAUCAGCGCCCGGUGACACCUCCACAAAAGCGAGGUUCGUGCCCGGCACAGAGGUCGUCCCCGGGGUCAGGUUCGGCUCUGCAGACCACCCGGCUGUGACUCUACGCACCCCCAGCUUCACCCUCGUGACGAAAAAGGGAUAAAAUAGUCAUAACUCUCUCGGAGACGUGUGACCUGUGUCUCCGUCUCUGAAAGCCUCCACAGUGUCUCUCUGCAGCAGGGUGGAGAGACAUGAAAGGCACCAGAUUCAAACUGGAUUUCAAUCUGUGAAACAUAAAUCUUGGAGGAGGAAGCAUGACCAGAAAACACUGCUUCCCUUCAUGCACUUUAAUUCUCAAGUGGAUGCAUUGUUCCAAAGUGUAGGUGCACGCUUCUGUCCAGCAGAGAGCAGCGCUUGGUAGAGAAUGAAGGUAGACAACUCACACUUUCCUGCAGAUUCAGUGAUAUUUUGUGGGAUCCAGGAGUGAAAACCACAGAACAGACGCCUCAUCAUUAUGCAUUUGUCUCAGACUAUGCUUUAAUUGUGAAUUACAUCAUGCAAAUUGUGUUAAUUGGUUUUGCUCUUGUGUUGCUCCAACACAGUUAAUUAAUCCCUGCGUGAAGCAAACACAGGAUAGGACAGAUAAGACUUCAGACCAGGGAAAAUAACAGAGUUAAGAGUAAACAUGUAUCAAUAGAAACAACAACAAUAUGGGCAGAAUGUGCAAAACAAAGCAAGAUAUAUGCACGAAAAGAAAAGUCUAACAGGUAAAAGCAUGGAGUAGUUGCAUUUACAUAAAGAAAGGAAACAUUCAAUGAAGGUAUUGUAUAAUAAAUGCAUGUCUAGGUAUAUAUUUUGAAUGAACGACCUAUACUUGUCCACCUUUUUAUCAUAUUUGAGUUGAAGACCUAAACUAAAGCUGCACAAUUCAUACAAGUUUCAUCAAAAUGCAUUUAUGGAUCAGUGCAUUAUCCAAAUCUCAGCAU